AGUAGAGUGCACCCGGCUUUCCUGUGUCUUCUGGGGUGUUGCUGGGGCUCUGCUGUUUCGUCUGGUCCACUAAUGGGACUAUCAUCUGAGUGUUUUACGGAUUUGUAUUUGUGGCACUACUGGGCAUGGCUCCAUUUGGUCUCAGACACCCAUGGAGCUGUUUUGAACAGAGGAGAGAAAUUCAGGAUUCUACUCAGCCCCUUAACUGGUGUUUGUUUGGAAGCUCACCAUUUGUUUAUCCAACUCUCCUAAAUCAAUCUUCAAUUCAUCUUGCUCAUGGUGUUCCCCAUGUUAUCAUCAUUUGUGCUAAUCUGAGGAUUUGGUGAUGCUGCAUUUCCUGUGAUAUUCCUACGUUGCUCCUGCGAGUUUAUAUUUUCAACCUUCUGAAACCUCCCGUGCAAGAUUUGAUGCUGAUGUUGAUGACAUCACCCAAAAACAUUGACAGGAGGUUUGCAGACCAAGUUUAUACAGCAACUCUUGGACCACUGACUCUAAAACGCACAGAAAAAUGCAAUUGAUCCAGAACAGCCCAAGGAAUGUUAAAUAUUUUUUACAGAAACACAAAUGACAUUUAUAGAAGUAUGUAUGUGCUGUGCAUAGUGAUGUUUUUUCCAAAAGGUACAACAUGAGAAGGGGAAUAAUAUUAAUUUUAUAGUGGAGAAAACUGAGCUAAACUGCCUCAUCCGUGUGAUCAAAUAACAUUAACCAUGAUAAAGCAGCUGGGCACAGUGGCUCACACCUGUAAUUCCAGCACUUGGGAGCCUGAGGUGAGA
RNAcentral lists this long non-coding RNA (773 nucleotides) under Homo sapiens (human). RNAcentral describes it as "HSALNT0379975". The record is from RNAcentral. Lineage: Eukaryota; Metazoa; Chordata; Mammalia; Primates; Hominidae.